RNAcentral lists this ribosomal RNA (253 nucleotides) under uncultured bacterium. RNAcentral's name for it is "partial 16S ribosomal RNA". It matches the Rfam family "Bacterial small subunit ribosomal RNA", at positions 524 to 776 of the family's 1533-position model. The record is from RNAcentral.
UACGAAGGGGGCUAGCGUUGCUCGGAAUCACUGGGCGUAAAAGGUGCGUAGGCGGGUCUUUAAGUCAGGGGUGAAAUCCUGGAGCUCAACUCCAGAACUGCCUUUGAUACUGAAGAUCUUGAGUUCGGGAGAGGUGAGUGGAACUGCGAGUGUAGAGGUGAAAUUCGUAGAUAUUCGCAAGAACACCAGUGGCGAAGGCGGCUCACUGGCCCGAUACUGACGCUGAGGAGCGAAAGCGUGGGGAGCGAACAGG